GGAGGCGGCGCGCACCUGGACGCUGGAAAAAAGGUGCGUAAAUUAACUUUUUAAAACAGAGGCAAGGGAGGCCGGUGACCUAAAAUGUGUUUUUAGAACGAUAGUGUCAGGAGUACAUGUUUGUAUGCCUGACGCUAUAGUGUUCCUUUAAUAAUUUCUACAUAUCAAGGUCAAUUUAAGAAAACUAAAUCAAAAUAGAUUCAUUAAUUAGCCCUGACUGAUAAAAUGCCCAGUAUGUCGAGGGUUUCAGUUAAUUUUUAGAAUCUAAAAAUUAACUAAAACUCUAGACAUACUUGGCAUUUGCAAGGAAUUCAUUAUGGGUUUAAAACCUGUCACUUUUAAGUAUUUCAUAAGGAUAUAUUCUUUGUGAAAUACUGAUUAAGACUUUUAAUUUCAUUGACAGUCCAAUGCAAUCCAAAGAUACCCUAAGACAAGGUAGGAACUAUUUUAUCU
Molecule: non-coding RNA, 453 nt
Organism: Pelobates cultripes (western spadefoot toad)
Lineage: Eukaryota; Metazoa; Chordata; Amphibia; Anura; Pelobatidae
Source: the annotation of a GenBank genome assembly